RNAcentral lists this ribosomal RNA (1678 nucleotides) under human gut metagenome. Its description in RNAcentral is "bacterial LSU rRNA". It matches the Rfam family "Bacterial large subunit ribosomal RNA", at positions 1378 to 2925 of the family's 2925-position model. The record is from RNAcentral.
GGUGAGUCGGGUCCUAAGGCGAGGCCGACAGGCGUAGUCGAAUGGAUGAACGGGUGGAUAUUCCCGUACCGGCGGCGUACCGUAAGAGCCGAACGGAUGAGUACUAACCUCCGGUCGCGUGGCGUCGUUCCCUUCGGGGUUCGGUGUCCGCGGUCGUUGGGAGCGUAGUCCUGGUAGGCUAGCGCACAGGGGUGACACGGAAUGGGAGCCGGCCGCGGAGGUGGUUUUCCGUGGUCAAGCACGCAGCCCGUCCCAUAGGCAAAUCCGUGGGGCAUGUAGGGUGAGGUGUGAUGAUGGGCGUCUUUUUUGGCGCGAUAUCCGGUGGUCCAGGCCGUCGAGAAAAGCCUCGGCGCGAGGGGCGUCGCCGCCCGUACCCCAAACCGACACUGGUGGUCAGGUAGAGAAUACCAAGGCGAUCGAGCGAAUCCUGGUCAAGGAACUCGGCAAAUCACUCCCGUGCCUUCGGUAUAAGGGAGACCCCCGGGCGUGAAGAGGCUUGCCCUCGGAGCGUUUGGGGGUGGCACAGACCAGGGGGUAGCGACUGUUUACCAAAAACACAGGUGCAUGCGAAGGCGCAAGCCGCUGUAUAUGCACUGACGCCUGCCCGGUGCCGGAAGGUUAAGAGGAUCCGUCAGCCCCUUUUUGGGGUGAAGCGGUGAAUUCAAGCCCCGGUAAACGGCGGUGGUAACUAUAACCAUCCUAAGGUAGCGAAAUUCCUUGUCGGGUAAGUUCCGACCUGCACGAAUGGCGUAACGACUUCCCCACUGUCUCGACCAGGAGCUCGGCGAAAUUGCAGUACGAGUAAAGAUGCUCGUUAAGCGCAGAAGGACGAAAAGACCCCGGGACCUUUACUAUACCUUGGUAUUGGCAUUAGGCGCGGAUUGUGUAGCAUAGGCGGGAGGCUUCGAAGCAUGGGCGCCAGCCCGUGUGGAGCCGCAAGGUGAAAUACCGCUCUGUUCUCGUUUGACGUCUCACCUCGAACAGUCAUCCUGUUCAGGGACAGUGCCUGGCGGGUAGUUUAACUGGGGCGGUUGCCUCCCAAAGAGUAACGGAGGCGCUCAAAGGUCCGCUCAGCCCGGUUGGCAAUCGGGUUUCGAGUGUAAUCGCACAAGCGGGCUUGACUGCGAGAACGACGGUUCGGGCAGGGACGAAAGUCGGAGAUAGUGAUCCGGUGCCGGCGCACGGGCGCGGCAUCGCUCAACGGAUAAAAGGUACCCCGGGGAUAACAGGCUGAUCAUUCCCAAGAGUCCAUAUCGACGGGAUGGUUUGGCACCUCGAUGUCGGCUCGUCGCAUCCUGGGGCUGGAGCAGGUCCCAAGGGUUCGGCUGUUCGCCGAUUAAAGCGGCACGCGAGCUGGGUUCAGAACGUCGUGAGACAGUUUGGUCUCUAUCCUCUGCGCUCGUUGGAAUGCUGAGGAGGCCUGCCCAUAGUACGAGAGGACCUGGGUGGACGAACCUCUGGUAUGCCGGUUGUCACGCCAGUGGCACGGCCGGUUGGCUACGUUCGGAAGGGAUAACCGCUGAAAGCAUCUAAGCGGGAAGCCUGCUCCAAGAUAAGCAUUCCGUGGAACCUUCGAGUUCCUGUAGUCCCCAUGCAGAACACGUGGUCGAUAGGCCGGACGUGGAAGCCCCGCGAGGGGUGGAGCCGACCGGUACUAACGGACGAAAGGCAACACUAA